UACACGACCGUACCGCAAACCGACACUGGUGCGCGAGAUGAGUAUUCUAAGGCGCUUGAGAGAACUCAGGAGAAGGAACUCGGCAAAUUGACACCGUAACUUCGGAAGAAGGUGUGCCUUUAGUAGGUGAACCAUUUACUUGGGGAGCCCAAUGAGGCUGCAAAAAAUCGGUGGCUGCAACUGUUUAUUAAAAACACAGCACUCUGCUAAGACGAAAGUCGACGUAUAGGGUGUGACGCCUGCCCGGUGCUGGAAGAUUAAAUGAUGGGGUGCAAGCUCUUGAUUGAAGUCCCAGUAAACGGCGGCCGUAACGAUAACGGUCCUAAGGUAGCGAAAUUCCUUGUCGGGUAAGUUCCGACCUGCACGAAUGGCGUAAUGAUGGCCACACUGUCUCCUCCUGAGACUCAGCGAAGUUGAAAUGUUUGUGAUGAUGCAAUCUCCCCGCGGAAAGACGGAAAGACCCCAUGAACCUUUACUGUAGCUUUGUAUUGGACUUUGAACAGAUCUGUGUAGGAUAGGUGGGAGGCUUUGAAGUGUGGUCGCUAGAUCGCAUGGAGCCAACGUUGAAAUACCACCCUGGUGUGUUUGAGGUUCUAACCUAGGUCCAUUAUCUGGAUCGGGGACAGUGCAUGGUAGGCAGUUUGACUGGGGCGGUCUCCUCCCAAAGUGUAACGGAGGAGUUCGAAGGUACGCUAGGUACGGUCGGACAUCGUGCUAAUAGUGCAAUGGCAUAAGCGUGCUUAACUGCGAGACUGACAAGUCGAGCAGAUGCGAAAGCAGGACAUAGUGAUCCGGUGGUUCUGUAUGGAAGGGCCAUCGCUCAACGGAUAAAAGGUACUCUGGGGAUAACAGGCUGAUACCGCCCAAGAGUUCAUAUCGACGGCGGUGUUUGGCACCUCGAUGUCGGCUCAUCUCAUCCUGGGGCUGUAGCCGGUCCCAAGGGUAUGGCUGUUCGCCAUUUAAAGAGGUACGUGAGCUGGGUUUAAAACGUCGUGAGACAGUUUGGUCCCUAUCUUCCGUGGGCGCUGCAGAUUUGAGGAAGCCUGCUCCUAGUACGAGAGGACCGGAGUGGACGAACCUCUGGUGUAUCGGUUGUCACGCCAGUGGCAUUGCCGAGUAGCUAAGUUCGGAAGAGAUAACCGCUGAAAGCAUCUAAGCGGGAAACUCGUUUCAAGAUUAGAUCUGCCGGGGCCUUGAGCCCCCUAAAGAGUCGUUCAAGACCAGGACGUUGAUAGGUCAGGUGUGGAAGCG
Molecule: ribosomal RNA, 1251 nt
Filed under: metagenome
Description: bacterial LSU rRNA
Rfam family: Bacterial large subunit ribosomal RNA
Source: RNAcentral